AAAUUGAAGAGUUUGAUCAUGGCUCAGAUUGAACGCUGGCGGCAGGCCUAACACAUGCAAGUCGAACGGUAACAGGAAGCAGCUUGCUGCUUUGCUGACGAGUGGCGGACGGGUGAGUAAUGUCUGGGAAACUGCCUGAUGGAGGGGGAUAACUACUGGAAACGGUGGCUAAUACCGCAUAAUGUCGCAAGACA
Molecule: ribosomal RNA, 194 nt
Filed under: Salmonella enterica subsp. enterica serovar Schwarzengrund
Lineage: Bacteria; Pseudomonadati; Pseudomonadota; Gammaproteobacteria; Enterobacterales; Enterobacteriaceae
Description: partial 16S ribosomal RNA
Rfam family: Bacterial small subunit ribosomal RNA
Source: RNAcentral